Molecule: long non-coding RNA, 949 nt
Filed under: Diabrotica virgifera virgifera (western corn rootworm)
Lineage: Eukaryota; Metazoa; Arthropoda; Insecta; Coleoptera; Chrysomelidae
Description: uncharacterized LOC126889679
Source: RNAcentral
UAAAAAUUUUGAUUGGAAAAUGCAUAUAAGAUAAGGGGGUGGGAAAAUGGAAAUUAGUGGCUUUUUUGCAGUUCUGUCUGUUAGUUUUGCUCUGGCUGGGUCUCUUUUGUUUAAACAAUUAUAAUCAGCUGAAAGUGGUCUACAAAAAAACCAGGAAGGAAACGUAUUAUAGCCUUGUUGUGGCUAUGAAAGGCAAAAGAAAGAUACCUAUAAAAAGUGUAUUGACUAGUUGGAAGAAACUCCACAUUGUCGAUGCAUAAUAAGAUAUUACUUUAUAAACAAAUAUCAAGACCUAGGAAUGGAACCUGGAUAAUAUAGUCAUCAAGAAGAUAGCAGGAGGUCAUGAGCAACAACAACUUCAUGAGUAUGAGAAUAUUGAGGAAAUCCAGCUCCUCGAUAUCUACUACUGGACAAACUAGAAGAUUGAAGAGGACAAAGCCUUUUGAACUAGUUUGAGUGAUAGGUGAUAGUGAAAAGCAGAGCGUAGUGCUUGUGUGCCUGUGUAUGUUAGAAUAGUGCACGAUCUUGUUAGAUUAGAUAAGAGACGCUAUAGGGUAAGCUCUUCAUUUUAAGGAACAGUAGUAAUUUAGGUUAAAUUAAAAUUGCUCAUUGGUCAGUUAUGACCAGAUUGUAAUUCUCUGAUGUUUGGCAAAAAGGGCUGAAGUCAGAAUUGCACAUCAAUAAUGUUUUGAUGAUUUCUGGACCAUAAAAAAAGUGUUGCAGACUUAAACUGUAUGUACCAAUAAAAAGAGCCGAUUUUUCUGGUCCAGAAAUCAUCAAAACAUUAUCGAUGUGCAAUUCUGACUUAAGCCCUUUUUCCCAAACAUCAGAGAAUUGCAAUGUACAAUUCAAUACAAAUGAAUCAUCAUCGUAGUGAUGAUUAUGGAAAAAAAUAUAUAUAUAUAUAUAGAAAUAUAUAUAUUUUGUGCAAUAAAAAUGUUUAUAUUUA